UUGACGGGGAGCACCACAACGGGUGGAGCUUGCGGUUUAAUUGGAUUCAACGCCGGAAAUCUUACCGGGACCGACAGCAAUAUGAAGGCCAGGCUGAAGACUUUGCCGGAUUAGCUGAGAGGUGGUGCAUGGCCGUCGUCAGUUCGUACUGUGAAGCAUCCUGUUAAGUCAGGCAACGAGCGAGACCCACGCCAACAGUUGCCAGCAUGUCCUCCGGGAUGGUGGGGACACUGUUGGGACCGCCUCUGCUAAAGAGGAGGAAGGAAUGGGCAACGGUAGGUCAGCAUGCCCCGAAUUAUCCGGGCUACACGCGGGCUACAAUGGUCAGGACAAUGGGCAUCAACACCGAAAGGUGAAGGCAAUCUCUUAAACCUGUCCUUAGUUCGGAUUGUGGGCUGCAACUCGCCCACAUGAAGCUGGAAUCUGUAGUAAUCGUGUCUCAAAAUGGCACGGUGAAUAUGUCCCUGCUCCUU
Molecule: ribosomal RNA, 473 nt
Filed under: uncultured Methanolinea sp.
Lineage: Archaea; Methanobacteriati; Methanobacteriota; Methanomicrobia; Methanomicrobiales; Methanoregulaceae
Description: bacterial SSU rRNA
Rfam family: Archaeal small subunit ribosomal RNA
Source: RNAcentral